UAGGGAAUCUUCCACAAUGGACGAAAGUCUGAUGGAGCAACGCCGCGUGAGUGAAGAAGGGUUUCAGCUCGUAAAACUCUGUUGUUAAAGAAGAACAUAUCUGAGAGUAACUGUUCAGGUAUUGACGGUAUUUAACCAGAAAGCCACGGCUAACUACGUGCCAG
Molecule: ribosomal RNA, 164 nt
Filed under: uncultured bacterium
Lineage: Bacteria
Description: partial 16S ribosomal RNA
Rfam family: Bacterial small subunit ribosomal RNA
Source: RNAcentral